AACUUGUUCUUUAAAUAGGGACUAGUAUCAACGGCAUCACGAGGGUUAUCCUGUCUCCUUUCUCUAAUCAGUGAACCUGACCUCUUCGUGAAGAGGCGAAGAUAUAAAUAUAAGACGAGAAGACCCCAUGGAGCUUAAAACAUAGAAACAAUUUCUUUACCACAAACCCUAAAAAAUAAGAAUAUCUGUUAGCUAGUUUUCGGCUGGGGUGCCCAAGGAGAAUAACCCAACCUCCCUGACGAUCUGUAUCCAAGAGCAACAGCUCGAAGAAACAAUAAAUUGACGCAAAAUGACCCGAUUUUCACAAUCGAUCAACGAACCAAGUUACCCUGGGGAUAACAGCGCAAUCCAUUUCAAGAGCCCCU
This 365-nucleotide ribosomal RNA is filed under the name Phrynobatrachus scheffleri (Scheffler's puddle frog). RNAcentral describes it as "partial 16S ribosomal RNA". It matches the Rfam family "Bacterial large subunit ribosomal RNA", at positions 1966 to 2503 of the family's 2925-position model. The record is from RNAcentral. Lineage: Eukaryota; Metazoa; Chordata; Amphibia; Anura; Phrynobatrachidae.